AGUGAACGCUGGCGGUAGGCCUAACACAUGCAAGUCGAACGGCAGCACAGUAAGAGCUUGCUCUUACGGGUGGCGAGUGGCGGACGGGUGAGGAAUACAUCGGAAUCUACUUUUUCGUGGGGGAUAACGUAGGGAAACUUACGCUAAUACCGCAUACGACCUACGGGUGAAAGCAGGGGAUCUUCGGACCUUGCGCGAUUGAAUGAGCCGAUGUCGGAUUAGCUAGUUGGCGGGGUAAAGGCCCACCAAGGCGACGAUCCGUAGCUGGUCUGAGAGGAUGAUCAGCCACACUGGAACUGAGACACGGUCCAGACUCCUACGGGAGGCAGCAGUGGGGAAUAUUGGACAAUGGGCGCAAGCCUGAUCCAGCCAACCGCGUGGGUGAAGAAGGCCUUCGGGUUGUAAAGCCCUUUUGUUGGGAAAGAAAAGCAGCAGGUUAAUACCCCGCUGUUCUGACGGUACCCAAAGAAUAAGCACCGGCUAACUUCGUG
This 491-nucleotide ribosomal RNA is filed under the name uncultured bacterium. RNAcentral describes it as "partial 16S ribosomal RNA". It matches the Rfam family "Bacterial small subunit ribosomal RNA", at positions 29 to 507 of the family's 1533-position model. The record is from RNAcentral.